Molecule: small RNA, 1514 nt
Filed under: Pan troglodytes (chimpanzee)
Lineage: Eukaryota; Metazoa; Chordata; Mammalia; Primates; Hominidae
Description: retained intron
Source: RNAcentral
UUUUUCCCUUAUAAAAUAAUUACUGUAGUCAAUAGUAGGCUAUUUAUUGUUGUUUUUAACAUCCAUACUUGGCAAAAUUAAAAGUUGUCAUCUUAUGUUAGUCCCCAGUUGUUUUCUUUGAAACUGUACUAAACUCUAAAAAUCUAGAAUGGGAACUACUACUAUUGAAAUUAUCAGUGAGAACUUCUGUGAUUUUCCUUUCCAUCAAGCCCAGGGCUUAGAGGGAGGCAUGAGUUGUAACUCACUGCCUUAGUUUUAUUUAGGAAAACUGAAGCUUCAUAGCAGCUUUGAGUGAGCUGGAAAGAGUUUUCUCGCAUCUAAGACAUUUUCUUUAAAGGAUAAAUUGUACAUCCUGGUUUCCAUCAAUCUUCAAGGAGCUGGAUUAAAAUAUCAUUGACUGCUGAAAUACAUAUUACAACAUAGUUCCUCAAAGUAGUAUCUGUCAUGAUUUAAUUAUUGCUUCAUCUGAAUCCCUCUCACAUUGAAGAUUUACUCUAUUUUGUAAAAUUUAAUUUAGCAUCAUUGGGUUAUUUAAAAAAAUAUUUCUUAAUUCCAUUAUCCAUUUCCAUAACCUUCAGUCAAAAGAUUUAGGAUUAAACGCUCAUGUCACUGAGAAUCCGUAUUUGUAAUUGGCAAAAUCAUCCAGUAUUCCAGGAUCACUAGAAGUAAUGUGAAGUUGAUAAAAUUGAAAAAUGUCCUAUGUGAUUUGACACAGACUUGAGAAAAUACGGGGUCCCUGUGAGUUCGGUCCUAGGUGAGUUAUGGUGCAUUUGAUGCUCUGUUGUUUUCUUCCUUCUUUCUACUUUCCAGUGAAAUCAGAUGAGUUACAGACCAUCAAGAAAGAAUUAACCCAGAUCAAAACUAAAAUUGACUCCUUGCUAGGGCGCCUGGAGAAGAUUGAGAAACAGCAGAAGGCGGAGGCAGUUUCUACAGAUAAAGUGAUCUGAAAUAACGCAUGAUGCCGCAAAGCAGAAAAGAGAAACUGUGACAACCCCCAGAAAUGUGAAAGGAGGUUUCUUACUGGACAGCAGCAUCUUUGGUUCAAUUUAUAUAAAAACCCAAAUAAAUAAAAUGGACAGUAUUGCUCAGUUUUAGAAAUUCCAUUUCUUCUAUGUUUUAAGCUGUACAAUUGUCAGGUUUUUAUGGUUUAAAUUGUAAAAUGUGUUUUCCCCUUUGCUAAUUAUGUUUUUUUUUUUAGUCUUAAAAUGUGAAAGGCAUUUAUGAAUGGUAAGGGAGACACUAUAUACAAAUGUAUAUUUGUAAAAGCUAUUUUUAUGAUUAGCAUGUUUCACUGUUGAUCAUAUAUAAAGUCAGGUGAUAUUGCAAUUCUGUAUUUAAAGCUUAUUUCCAACAAUGUCAUGUAAGAAAAGAUGCAUCUUAUGCUAGUUUUUAUAAUUUAUUUAUAAUUUAUAGUUUAAAGUAAUUCAGAUCAUAAUGAUAAAAUACUUGAAAAAGUUAUAUUUCUGCCCUGUAUAAGCACCCUUUUUAUUAAUAAAGAAUGCAGAUAUUUCAGA